UUCAUCCAUCACCCUUUGCCAAAAGAGUUAGCAAGCUAUUACAAACAUCAACUCCCCUAUUUUUUUUCUUUUCUUUUCCAAAACAGGGCAUACCCUGUUUCUUUUUCUUUUUUUUCUUCUUCUUCUUCCCACAAAUCAGCCCCUCUGUUUUUCCGAAUCAGAGCUCCCUUUCCCAGUUGAGAAGGCCCUCUUCAUAUAGAUCGCCCCAGAGCCCAUGGACAAGCUAGGAUUCCCCUGAUCGCGCGUGGAGAGGAGGUGACAACGGAGCGGAUCCGGCGCUGAUGGGUGCGACGCUUCACGGGAUGCUGGGGUCUUGGGCUCGGGCGGACGCUGUGGAGGAGAUUGCGGGCGGAUCCGGCGCUGAGGGGGU
This 370-nucleotide long non-coding RNA is filed under the name Phoenix dactylifera (date palm). RNAcentral describes it as "long non-coding RNA (PDAC_LNC004367)". The record is from RNAcentral. Lineage: Eukaryota; Viridiplantae; Streptophyta; Magnoliopsida; Arecales; Arecaceae.